UGGAAAAAGCAUUCUCUUUAUAUGAUAACUAUCAAGCCGUUUAGAAUAGUUUUCUACUUUGCAUGCUGAAAUAAGGGGAAAAAUAUUUUGUGGAUUAUUAUAAUGGGGUAACAGUUGAGAAAAUGUCAUAUUUUAUAAGGAUGAGGAGUAAAACUUGGGAAAACAAUAUUACUGUAUGAUUUACAGGAAACUUUUUUCUUCUUAAGCUAAUUUAGGGCUUUUGCCCUCUGCUUUAGGUAAAACAAACAACUAUUGCUUGCUCUGUUUAUUUUGUGUCUGGAUGCUGGCAUGCUGCUGGACCAUACACAGCUGAAUGCCAGAAGACAAGAACUGUGGAGAAAGUGUGCACUUUCUUUUGGACAAAUUGCAAAUCUGACAUGGGUCUUGACAUUGUAAGAUCUGCUCUUUGCAGCUCUGAGGACAGAGAAGCCUCAGAUCUGAGUUCAGGAAAAGUGCAAACUGACAUGCAAUUGUUUUAGAAAAAAAUUAUAUGAAAGAGCCAGCCAGAAUUUGACUCUGAAGAGACUAAGAUUUAAACUUUGCAUGCAUAUUCAACUUUUAUUAACAGGAAGCAUAUUAGAAAUUAACAAUGCAUGCAUAAUUAAUGUGCAUUUUUUACAGGUUAAUUAUUGGGUACAAAUUGAAACGCCAGUGUACUGUCCUGUAAACUGCAUCGUUUUGCUGAAAAAUGUAGAAGCUGGAAAAGUGCUGUACAAGAGUGUGCAGAUGCUGCAGGUGCCAGCUGUUACUAUAAUCCUGAGAGAUGUGAUUGAAAGGCCUGUGCAGAAUGAGCUGGAAGGUUCUAAACCAUUAAGUUACAAUAAGAUGAUGCCAGGAACUUGCAUGUGGAUGAAGACAGGAGAGUGA
This 867-nucleotide long non-coding RNA is filed under the name Falco tinnunculus (common kestrel). Its description in RNAcentral is "lncRNA (ENSFTIG00000006852.1)". Lineage: Eukaryota; Metazoa; Chordata; Aves; Falconiformes; Falconidae. The record is from RNAcentral.